GACGAACGCUGGCGGCGUGCUUAACACAUGCAAGUCGAACGAUGAAGCCGGAGCUUGCUCUGGUGAAUUAGUGGCGAACGGGUGAGUAACACGUGAGUAACCUGCACUUGACUCUGGGAUAACUGCGGGAAACUGUAGCUAAUACCGGAUACGACCCUCGGAGGAAUCUACUGGGGGUGGAAAGAAUUUCGGUCAAGGAUGGACUCGCGGCCUAUCAGCUAGUUGGUGAGGUAAAGGGUCACCAAGGCGACGACGGGUAGCCGGCCUGGGAGGGUGACCGGCCACACUGGGACUGAGACACGGCCCAGACUCCUACGGGAGGCAGCAGUGGGGAAUAUUGCACAAUGGGCGCAAGCCUGAUGCAGCAACGCCGCGUGAGGGAUGACGGCCUUCGGGUUGUAAACCUCUUUUAACAGGGAAGAAGCGAAAGUGACGGUACCUGCAGAAAAAGCACCGGCUAACUACGUGCCAGCCGCCGCCGUAA
Molecule: ribosomal RNA, 484 nt
Filed under: uncultured bacterium
Lineage: Bacteria
Description: partial 16S ribosomal RNA
Rfam family: Bacterial small subunit ribosomal RNA
Source: RNAcentral